This 240-nucleotide unclassified non-coding RNA is filed under the name soil metagenome. RNAcentral's name for it is "partial contains 5.8S ribosomal RNA, internal transcribed spacer 2, and large subunit ribosomal RNA". The record is from RNAcentral.
AAGACUAUAGACCUGCGGAGUACCUGCGGAAGGAUCAUUCACGACAAGUGUUUAUGGCACUUGAACAAAUCCAUAUCCACCUUGUGUGCAACGUUGAGACGGUACUCCUUUCUUUCCAUUUUGGUGGCGAGGAAACGGGGGGAGGACGGUCUUGUCUCUUUAAUAUUUUAACGUAGCUUUGAACAAGUUUGUCUGAAGGGGUAUAUUUACCGUAGAAUUAUGACCUAAUUCGAAAUACAA